CCUACGGGUGGCAGCAGUGGGGAAUAUUGCACAAUGGGGGAAACCCUGAUGCAGCGACGCCGCGUGAGUGAAGAAGUAAUUCGUUAUGUAAAGCUCUAUCAGCAGGGAAGAAAAUGACGGUACCUGAGUAAGAAGCCCCGGCUAACUACGUGCCAGCAGCCGCGGUAAUACGUAGGGGGCAAGCGUUAUCCGGCUGUACUGGGUGGAAAGGGAGCGUAGACGGCAGUGCAAGUCUGGAGUGAAAGGCGGGGGCUCAACCCCCGGACUGCUCUGGAAACUGGACGGCUGGAGUGCAGGAGAGGUAAGUGGAAUUCCUAGUGUAGCGGUGAAAUGCGUAGAUAUUAGGAGGAACACCAGUGGCGAAGGCGGCUUACUGGACUGUAACUGACGUUGAGGCUCGAAAGCGUGGGGAGCAAACAGGAUGAGAUACCCCAGUAGUC
Molecule: ribosomal RNA, 440 nt
Filed under: uncultured bacterium
Lineage: Bacteria
Description: partial 16S ribosomal RNA
Rfam family: Bacterial small subunit ribosomal RNA
Source: RNAcentral